Molecule: ribosomal RNA, 692 nt
Filed under: uncultured bacterium
Lineage: Bacteria
Description: bacterial SSU rRNA
Rfam family: Bacterial small subunit ribosomal RNA
Source: RNAcentral
GUAGUCCACGCUGUAAACGAUGUCGAUUUGGAGGUUGUGCCCUUGAGGCGUGGCUUCCGGAGCUAACGCGUUAAAUCGACCGCCUGGGGAGUACGGCCGCAAGGUUAAAACUCAAAUGAAUUGACGGGGGCCCGCACAAGCGGUGGAGCAUGUGGUUUAAUUCGAUGCAACGCGAAGAACCUUACCUGGUCUUGACAUCCACAGAAGUUUCCAGAGAUGGGAAUGUGCCUUCGGGAACUGUGAGACAGGUGCUGCAUGGCUGUCGUCAGCUCGUGUUGUGAAAUGUUGGGUUAAGUCCCGCAACGAGCGCAACCCUUAUCCUUUGUUGCCAGCGGUCCGGCCGGGAACUCAAAGGAGACUGCCAGUGAUAAACUGGAGGAAGGUGGGGAUGACGUCAAGUCAUCAUGGCCCUUACGACCAGGGCUACACACGUGCUACAAUGGCGCAUACAAAGAGAAGCGACCUCGCGAGAGCAAGCGGACCUCAUAAAGUGCGUCGUAGUCCGGAUUGGAGUCUGCAACUCGACUCCAUGAAGUCGGAAUCGCUAGUAAUCGUGGAUCAGAAUGCCACGGUGAAUACGUUCCCGGGCCUUGUACACACCGCCCGUCACACCAUGGGAGUGGGUUGCAAAAGAAGUAGGUAGCUUAACCUUCGGGAGGGCGCUUACCACUUUGUGAUUCAUGACUGGGGUG